Molecule: ribosomal RNA, 1479 nt
Filed under: metagenome
Description: bacterial SSU rRNA
Rfam family: Bacterial small subunit ribosomal RNA
Source: RNAcentral
AGAGUUUGAUCCUGGCUCAGGAUGAACGCUAGCGGGAGGCUUAACACAUGCAAGUCGAGGGGUAACAUGAUCUUCGGAUUGAUGACUACCGGCGCACGGGUGAGUAACGCGUAUGCAACCUACCUACUACAGGGGAAUAGCCCAGAGAAAUUUGGAUUAAUGCCCCAUGGUACUAUUUUAUCGCAUGGUGAGAUAGUUAAAGAUUUAUCGGUAGUAGAUGGGCAUGCGUGACAUUAGAUUGUUGGUGAGGUAACGGCUCACCAAGUCUACGAUGUCUAGGGGUUCUGAGAGGAUGAUCCCCCACACUGGUACUGAGACACGGACCAGACUCCUACGGGAGGCAGCAGUGAGGAAUAUUGGUCAAUGGGCGCAAGCCCGAACCAGCCAUCCCGCGUGAAGGAUGACUGCCCUAUGGGUUGUAAACUUCUUUUAUGUGCCAAGAAUGUGACCUACGUGUAGGUUUUUGACGGUAGCACAUGAAUAAGCAUCGGCUAACUCCGUGCCAGCAGCCGCGGUAAUACGGAGGAUGCGAGCGUUAUCCGGAUUCAUUGGGUUUAAAGGGUACGUAGGCGGUCUAAUAAGUCAGUGGUGAAAUCCUGCGGCUCAACCGUAGAACUGCCAUUGAUACUGUUAGACUUGAAUAUAGUUGAGGUAGGCGGAAUGUGUUGUGUAGCGGUGAAAUGCUUAGAUAUAACACAGAACACCGAUUGCGAAGGCAGCUUACCAGACUAUCAUUGACGCUGAGGUACGAAAGCGUGGGGAGCGAACAGGAUUAGAUACCCUGGUAGUCCACGCUGUAAACGAUGUUCACUCGCUGUAUGCGAUACACAGUAUGCGGCCAAGCGAAAGCAUUAAGUGAACCACCUGGGGAGUACGUCGGCAACGGUGAAACUCAAAGGAAUUGACGGGGGCCCGCACAAGCGGAGGAACAUGUGGUUUAAUUCGAUGAUACGCAAGGAACCUUACCUGGGCUUAAAUGUAGGUUGCACGAUGUAGAAAUACACUUCCCUUCGGGGCUACCUACAAUGUGCUGCAUGGUUGUCGUCAGCUCGUGCCGUGAGGUGUCGGGUUAAGUCCCAUAACGAGCGCAACCCUUAUCGUUAGUUGCCAUCAGGUAAUGCUGGGGACUCUAGCGAGACUGCCACCGUAAGGUGAGAGGAAGGUGGGGAUGACGUCAAAUCAGCACGGCCCUUAUGUCCAGGGCUACACACGUGUUACAAUGGUCGGUACAAAGGGCAGCUACACAGCGAUGUGAUGCUAAUCUCUAAAGCCGGUCUCAGUUCGGAUCGGUGUCUGCAACUCGACUCCGUGAAGUUGGAUUCGCUAGUAAUCGGAUAUCAGCCAUGAUCCGGUGAAUACGUUCCCGGGCCUUGUACACACCGCCCGUCAAACCAUGGAAGCUGGGGGUGCCUGAAGUCUGUCACCGUAAGGAGCGGCCUAGGGUAAAACCGGUAACUGGGGUUAAGUCGUAACAAGGUA